This 392-nucleotide unclassified non-coding RNA is filed under the name Hevea brasiliensis (rubber tree). Lineage: Eukaryota; Viridiplantae; Streptophyta; Magnoliopsida; Malpighiales; Euphorbiaceae. The record is from RNAcentral.
CCCGACUCAACAAGAUGCCGUCUCACAAGACCUUCAGAAUCAAGAAGAAGUUGGCGAAGAAGAUGAGACAGAACAGGCCAAUUCCUCACUGGAUCCGUCUUAGGACCGACAAUACCAUCAGGUACAAUGCAAAGCGAAGGCACUGGCGCCGCACUAAGCUCGGUUUCUGAGCUGUUUUGCAUGUGAUUUUCUCUUUAUCCUUCGCAAUUGUCUUGAACCUAUUUAAGCGUUAGUUAUGGAAAAGACGAAGAAUAUAGAGCUAAGUUUUUGAAUUUUUUUGCCUCAAUUAAGAACUUAUCGAAGAGAAACUCGUGUAGUAAAUUUAUGUCUGGAGUGAUGUCAGUUCGGAAGUUAAUCUCGUGUUCGUUUGGUUUAAUGCUAUUCUAGUUCAG